This 498-nucleotide ribosomal RNA is filed under the name uncultured bacterium. RNAcentral's name for it is "partial 16S ribosomal RNA". It matches the Rfam family "Bacterial small subunit ribosomal RNA", at positions 28 to 523 of the family's 1533-position model. The record is from RNAcentral.
GACGAACGCUGGCGGCAUGCCUUACACAUGCAAGUCGAACGGCAGCGCGGGGCAACCUGGCGGCGAGUGGCGAACGGGUGAGUAAUGCAUCGGAACGUACCCGGAAGUGGGGGAUAACGUAGCGAAAGUUACGCUAAUACCGCAUAUUCUGUGAGCAGGAAAGUGGGGGAUCGCAAGACCUCACGCUUUCGGAGCGGCCGAUGUCGGAUUAGCUAGUUGGUGGGGUAAAGGCUUACCAAGGCGACGAUCCGUAGCGGGUCUGAGAGGAUGAUCCGCCACACUGGGACUGAGACACGGCCCAGACUCCUACGGGAGGCAGCAGUGGGGAAUUUUGGACAAUGGGGGCAACCCUGAUCCAGCCAUGCCGCGUGAGUGAAGAAGGCCUUCGGGUUGUAAAGCUCUUUCGGCCGGGAAGAAAUCGCCUGGGAUAAUACCCUGGGUGGAUGACGGUACCGGAAUAAGAAGCACCGGCUAACUACGUGCCAGCCGCCGCCGUAA